GACGAACGCUGGCGGCGUGCCUAAUACAUGCAAGUAGAACGCUGAAGGAAGGAGCUUGCUCUUUCUGGAUGAGUUGCGAACGGGUGAGUAACGCGUAGGUAACCUGCCUGGUAGCGGGGGAUAACUAUUGGAAACGAUAGCUAAUACCGCAUAAAAUUGAUUAUUGCAUGAUAGUCAAUUAAAAGGUGCAACUGCACCACUACCAGAUGGACCUGCGUUGUAUUAGCUAGUUGGUGGGGUAACGGCUCACCAAGGCGACGAUACAUAGCCGACCUGAGAGGGUGAUCGGCCACACUGGGACUGAGACACGGCCCAGACGCCUACGGGAGGCAGCAGUAGGGAAUCUUCGGCAAUGGACGGAAGUCUGACCGAGAAACGCCGCGGGAGUGAAGAAGGUUUUCGGAUCGUAAAGCUCGGUUGUAAGAGAAGAACGAGUGUGAGAGUGGAAAGUUCACACUGUGACGGUAUCUUACCAGAAAGGGACGGCUAACUACGUG
Molecule: ribosomal RNA, 497 nt
Filed under: uncultured bacterium
Lineage: Bacteria
Description: partial 16S ribosomal RNA
Rfam family: Bacterial small subunit ribosomal RNA
Source: RNAcentral